CCAGCUCCAAUAGCGUAUAUUAAUUUUGUUGUAGUUAAAAAGCUCGUAGUUGGAUCUCGGCAGGCAGGGGGCGGUCCGUUAUUUGACGAGACUGCCCCAUUUGCCUGUGUUUCUCGGCAGAAUUUGCAGGGUGCUCUUCACCGAGUGUCCUGUGAGGCUGCCAGGUUUACUUUGAAAAAAUUAGAGUGCUCCAAGCAGGCUCGACACGCCUGAAUAUUCGUGCAUGGAAUAAUGGAAUAGGACGUCAUUCCUAUUUUGUUGGUUUUAGGGAAUCGACGUAAUGAUUAAUAGGGACAGCCGGGGGCAUUAGUAUUCAGACGACAGAGGUGAAAUUCUUGGACCGUCUGAAGACUAACAACUGCGAAAGCAUUUGCCAAGAGUGUUUUCAUUAAUCAAGAACGAAAGUUAGAGGUUCGAAGGCGAUCAGAUACCGCCCUAGUUCUAACCAUAAACGAUGCCAGCUAGCGAUCUGAAGAUGUUUUUUUUGUAGGCUCUUCAGGAAGCUUCCGGGAAACCAAAGCAAUUGGGUUCUAGGGGAAGUAUGGUUGCAAAGCUGAAACUUAAAAGAAUUGACGGAAGGGCACCACCAGGCGUGGAGCCUGCGGCUUAAUUCGACUCAAC
This 621-nucleotide ribosomal RNA is filed under the name Copepoda environmental sample. RNAcentral's name for it is "SSU rRNA". It matches the Rfam family "Eukaryotic small subunit ribosomal RNA", at positions 585 to 1204 of the family's 1831-position model. The record is from RNAcentral. Lineage: Eukaryota; Metazoa; Arthropoda; Copepoda.